UAUUCUACCCUACGGGGAAGGAUGAGAAGCUUCGACUAAGGUUCGACUCGAGCGUAGCGAGAGAACGUUGCCGCAGGCAACGGCCCGAAGGGCGAGGCGCUUUAGCGCCGAGUUAUCCUUCCCCCACCACCA
Molecule: small RNA, 132 nt
Filed under: Klebsiella quasipneumoniae subsp. similipneumoniae
Lineage: Bacteria; Pseudomonadati; Pseudomonadota; Gammaproteobacteria; Enterobacterales; Enterobacteriaceae
Description: RtT sRNA
Rfam family: RtT RNA
About the family: This family represents a bacterial cis-regulatory element known as RtT RNA. The exact function of RtT is unknown although it is thought that it may be involved in changing the cellular response in relation to amino acid starvation.
Source: RNAcentral